This 496-nucleotide ribosomal RNA is filed under the name uncultured bacterium. RNAcentral's name for it is "partial 16S ribosomal RNA". It matches the Rfam family "Bacterial small subunit ribosomal RNA", at positions 28 to 506 of the family's 1533-position model. The record is from RNAcentral.
GAUGAACGCUGGCGGCGUGCCUAAUACAUGCAAGUCGAGCGAACAGACGAGGAGCUUGCUCCUCUGACGUUAGCGGCGGACGGGUGAGUAACACGUGGAUAACCUACCUAUAAGACUGGGAUAACUUCGGGAAACCGGAGCUAAUACCGGAUAAUAUAUUGAACCGCAUGGUUCAAUAGUGAAAGACGGUUUUGCUGUCACUUAUAGAUGGAUCCGCGCCGCAUUAGCUAGUUGGUAAGGUAACGGCUUACCAAGGCAACGAUGCGUAGCCGACCUGAGAGGGGGAUCGGCCACACUGGAACUGGAAAACGGCCCAAACCCCUACGGGAGGAAGCAGUGGGGAAUCUUCCGCAAUGGGCGAAAGCCUGACGGGGAAACGCCGCGUGGGUGAGGAAGGUCUUCGGAUCGUAAAACUCUGUUAUUAGGAAAGAACAAAUGUGUAAGUAACAAUGAACGUCUGGACGGUACCAAAUCAGAAAGCAACGGCAAACUACGU